RNAcentral lists this ribosomal RNA (1408 nucleotides) under uncultured bacterium. Its description in RNAcentral is "bacterial SSU rRNA". It matches the Rfam family "Bacterial small subunit ribosomal RNA". The record is from RNAcentral.
GAGUUUGAUUAUGGCUCAGGACGAACGCUGGCGGCGUGCCUAAUACAUGCAAGUAGAACGCUGAAGAGAGGAGCUUGCUCUUCUUGGAUGAGUUGCGAACGGGUGAGUAACGCGUAGGUAACCUGCCUUGUAGCGGGGGAUAACUAUUGGAAACGAUAGCUAAUACCGCAUAACAAUGGAUGACACAUGUCAUUUAUUUGAAAGGGGCAAUUGCUCCACUACAAGAUGGACCUGCGUUGUAUUAGCUAGUAGGUGAGGUAACGGCUCACCUAGGCGACGAUACAUAGCCGACCUGAGAGGGUGAUCGGCCACACUGGGACUGAGACACGGCCCAGACUCCUACGGGAGGCAGCAGUAGGGAAUCUUCGGCAAUGGGGGCAACCCUGACCGAGCAACGCCGCGUGAGUGAAGAAGGUUUUCGGAUCGUAAAGCUCUGUUGUAAGUCAAGAACGAGUGUGAGAGUGGAAAAUUCACACUGUGUCGGUAGCUUACCAGAAAGGGACGGCUAACUACGUGCCAGCAGCCGCGGUAAUACGUAGGUCCCGAGCGUUGUCCGGAUUUAUUGGGCGUAAAGCGAGCGCAGGCGGUUUGAUAAGUCUGAAGUUAAAGGCUGUGGCUCAACCAUAGUUCGCUUUGGAAACUGUCAAACUUGAGUGCAGAAGGGGAGAGUGGAAUUCCAUGUGUAGCGGUGAAAUGCGUAGAUAUAUGGAGGAACACCGGUGGCGAAAGCGGCUCUCUGGUCUGUAACUGACGCUGAGGCUCGAAAGCGUGGGGAGCGAACAGGAUUAGAUACCCUGGUAGUCCACGCCGUAAACGAUGAGUGCUAGGUGUUGGAUCCUUUCCGGGAUUCAGUGCCGCAGCUAACGCAUUAAGCACUCCGCUUGGGGAGUACGACCGCAAGGUUGAAACUCAAAGGAAUUGACGGGGGCCCGCACAAGCGGUGGAGCAUGUGGUUUAAUUCGAAGCAACGCGAAGAACCUUACCAGGUCUUGACAUCCCGAUGCUAUUUCUAGAGAUAGAAAGUUACUUCGGUACAUCGGUGACAGGUGGUGCAUGGUUGUCGUCAGCUCGUGUCGUGAGAUGUUGGGUUAAGUCCCGCAACGAGCGCAACCCCUAUUGUUAGUUGCCAUCAUUCAGUUGGGCACUCUAGCGAGACUGCCGGUAAUAAACCGGAGGAAGGUGGGGAUGACGUCAAAUCAUCAUGCCCCUUAUGACCUGGGCUACACACGUGCUACAAUGGUUGGUACAACGAGUUGCGAGUCGGUGACGGCAAGCUAAUCUCUUAAAGCCAAUCUCAGUUCGGAUUGUAGGCUGCAACUCGCCUACAUGAAAGUCGGAAUCGCUAGUAAUCGCGGAUCAGCACGCCGCGGUGAAUACGUUUCCCGGGCCUUGUCCCCCCGCCCCGUCA